UACUUUGAACUCUUUGAAUCC
Molecule: unclassified non-coding RNA, 21 nt
Filed under: Dictyostelium discoideum
Lineage: Eukaryota; Evosea; Eumycetozoa; Dictyosteliales; Dictyosteliaceae
Source: RNAcentral